Molecule: transfer RNA, 77 nt
Filed under: Acrocarpospora phusangensis
Lineage: Bacteria; Bacillati; Actinomycetota; Actinomycetes; Streptosporangiales; Streptosporangiaceae
Description: tRNA-Leu
Rfam family: tRNA
About the family: Transfer RNA (tRNA) molecules are approximately 80 nucleotides in length. Their secondary structure includes four short double-helical elements and three loops (D, anti-codon, and T loops).
Source: RNAcentral
GCCGCUCUAGCCCAACGGCAGGAGGCACCGUGCUCAGGACACGGGACGUCGGGGUUCGAAUCCCCGGGGCGGCACCA